UUUCAUUUCGGUCGUUCCUGGCCCAUAUGGUUCAAGGGGAUUCAUUUUAAGAUUUUCUGUGUCUCUCAGGUGUUAGAGACAGAGAGAGAGUGCGCAGCUGCCGUGGCCUGCCCUGGUUGCCAGGACAACCAAAGGUCUGCCUGGGACACCCACAUGGUUAGCUACACAGGAUGACAAGGAAGUGGGAGCUACAGAAGUAGGAGCUACAGAAGUAGGAGCUACAGAAGGAGCACUGGUGAGUAAGUGGUGUCAACAGGAAGUCAGGCGUGUCAACAGGAAGUCGGGCGUGUCAACAGCAAGUCACUCAGCAAUGCCAG
Molecule: long non-coding RNA, 317 nt
Organism: Dicentrarchus labrax (European seabass)
Lineage: Eukaryota; Metazoa; Chordata; Actinopteri; Moronidae
Exons: 3
Source: RefSeq, a predicted model, not a curated record